UCCCUGAUGGUCCUUUGGCUGAGACUCUGCCCUCCCAAAGCAAGGGGCCUGGGUUCAAUCCCUGGUCAGGGAA
RNAcentral lists this transfer RNA (73 nucleotides) under Bos taurus (domestic cattle). It matches the Rfam family "tRNA". Rfam says of the family: Transfer RNA (tRNA) molecules are approximately 80 nucleotides in length. Their secondary structure includes four short double-helical elements and three loops (D, anti-codon, and T loops). Further hydrogen bonds mediate the characteristic L-shaped molecular structure. tRNAs have two regions of fundamental functional importance: the anti-codon, which is responsible for specific mRNA codon recognition, and the 3' end, to which the tRNAs corresponding amino acid is attached (by aminoacyl-tRNA synthetases). tRNAs cope with the degeneracy of the genetic code in two manners: having more than one tRNA (with a specific anti-codon) for a particular amino acid; and 'wobble' base-pairing, i.e. permitting non-standard base-pairing at the 3rd anti-codon position. The record is from Rfam by way of RNAcentral. Lineage: Eukaryota; Metazoa; Chordata; Mammalia; Artiodactyla; Bovidae. RNAcentral also lists the same sequence under 2 other names.